Molecule: ribosomal RNA, 711 nt
Filed under: Triticum aestivum (bread wheat)
Lineage: Eukaryota; Viridiplantae; Streptophyta; Magnoliopsida; Poales; Poaceae
Description: partial small subunit ribosomal RNA
Source: RNAcentral
AUGUUCCUUUGGAGGUUAUCUAAACACUCUAUACCAACUAAUGACGUUAGGGCGCAUCCACACAUGUCAGACUCCAGCGCAUGCGGCAUUUGCGGCGCCCCAGAUUCAUGGAGACAUUUCCUCUUGAAAUGCGGUUUCAUCAACAGGUAUCUUCAAGAUCUGAACCUGCUGGCUGCACCUACUCUUAACCAGACUCAACAAGCUGCUCAUUUGGCCAAUGCAAAUACUCGACGCCCAAAAGCACCACCAGCGGGCCAUGCAAAGAUUCAUGUCGAUGCUGCUUGUCGUAAGGGACUAGGAGGCGCAGUGGCAGCUGUUUGCUGUGAUGAAACGGGCGCUUAUCUGGGAAACUCAGCCCUCGUGAUUGCAGGAGUUGACGACCCUGAAAUUCUGGAAACAAUAGCCUACAGGGAGGCGCUAGCAUUGGCACAAGAUCUCAACAUCCAAAGCCUUGUUGUUGCAUCAGGCUCUAAGGGAGCAUAUGGAGCUAUCAACAACAGAAACGAUGGAACCAAUGGUGCAAUCAUCUCGGAGAUUCAUAGUAUAGCUUUUACUUUGAGUUGUAGUUUUACAUUUGAAGGUCGUGCCGUUAAUGUUGAGGCAUAUAGAUUAGCCAAGUAUACAUUUUCUUUAGGUCCGGGGCGACACAUUUGGCUAGGCCAACCCCAUGACCAAAGAUGUAUCCCACUUUAUGUGGUCUUUGCUGAAUAA